CUGGCCGCUGCCUCAGGGCCGGGGCCGCCGCCCGCCACCACCCCAGGGCCCGGAAUGGCCGCCGCCACCCGCGGCCAAUGGGCCUCAGCCGCUGAGCGGGGAACCAACCUGUGAGGGGCGUCGUGGGGGUUUAAGGAGCCUCUGUCUCCUCCAAACCCAAGCUCUUAGCGUUAUACCUUGAGGGAAAUUAGCCGUUUCUCGUAAAUAACUUGAUUGCACCAGACUACAAAGGCAGAGCAAAGAAGGAUCACUGGUACCUGGCAAAACAAGGAGGCUUCAUAUCUUUCCCACCAACGCAGCCUAGGGCAACCACGCUGUACGCCUAUUGCAAAAGGGUUCGCUGUCGGCAAUCCCUGGGCGGGCUCUGCUCUACCAGUCCUGUGAAGAAAGCAGGAUUACCAGGAGCGAGAAGUAUGAUUGCUGCAGCUGCUGCAAACACCGCGAGGGAAUAAGGCCCUGACUCGGAGAGCUUUGUGCCAGAGAAGUCUGGCAUUGACUAUCCUAUCCAUAACCUUGAUACCGAAACCAUUAUGAAACACCAGUGAUAAGAAUACACAGCAACCAAGGAUUCACAGCUGCUAAGAUUUGAUAGUGACUGGAGUGACAACCAGGAUGGAGGUCAGUGAUGGAUGACUAGCUGAAGAACACAACAGGAGAAGGAGGGCUUGUAGAAGGAGAUUUAUCAGAACACUAAGGAAUCUCUUGAAAGCUGUAAUGUUUCCAUCAGACAACAUGAGACUGAAAGCUCAGGACUACCACAGGUAAGAAAAUCAGGCACAUGUUUAUGUCUUGCUUAAGUAAUGCUUGGCACCUGCCACUAUAAUGCUUAAGUCACUGUGAUCAGAGACAAAGUCCUCUCGGACCUCAUUUCAAAUACAAGAGCUGUAAAUCCUAUCCCUCAGUUCAGUCAAUGGCUUAACUCCCGUCACUAAGGUGAAAUCACCCAUGGGAGGCUUCCAUCUGAAAUGAACGGGACAUGCGCUCUUUGCAGACCAUGCAGUACAUGCCACGGUAUUACUGGAACAGAAAUUUGAUACAAAUUACUGUUAUUAAUGAAAUGCUUGGUGUUACAGUAGAAGAAAACCACUUAAAUGGCAGUUAUUCUUAUUUUCUCUUAAAAGUUGGAGAAAAACAUUUAGAUUUAGACGCCUCUUCUUGAUUUCAUGUCGUUAAACAGAAAUAAUGCCAAUUCUGUAGAAACUUUCCCCAUUUGCCAUGAACUCAGUUAGUUUCUUUAAUUCCACUGAGCUCUACAAUAUGAAGAUAGUAGAUAAUAUGGCCUUAAGGACAAAUGUUAUUCCAUUAUAUAAAAUCUGGAUGUUAUUCCAAUACACAAAAACUGAAAGAGGAAAAGCUAAAAACAGUGUAUUAUGCCGGUUGUUGUGCUAAAAAUCUUGACAGACAUGGAAUAUUGAUUAAAUUUAGCAGCAUAACUUGGCAGGAACAAGAAUGGGUGGUUCAAAAUGGCUCUAAGAACUCUGAACAAGGAUG
This is a long non-coding RNA of Chroicocephalus ridibundus (black-headed gull), 1491 nucleotides long. RefSeq lists it as uncharacterized. The record is from RefSeq and is a predicted model, not a curated record. The transcript has 5 exons. NCBI's taxonomy places the organism in Eukaryota, Metazoa, Chordata, Aves, Charadriiformes, Laridae.